Molecule: unclassified non-coding RNA, 263 nt
Filed under: plant metagenome
Description: partial contains small subunit ribosomal RNA, internal transcribed spacer 1, and 5.8S ribosomal RNA
Source: RNAcentral
UUUCCGUAGGUGAACCUGCGGAAGGAUCAUUAUUGUAUAACCGGGGUGCGAUGGCUGUCGCUGACCCGAAAGGUCGUGCACGCCCGAGUGCCCUCACACACAUCCAUCUCACCCCUAUGUGCACCACCGCGUGGGUCCCCCUUUGGCUUGUUCGGAGGGGGGCUUACGUUUUCACACAAACUUUGUAUGCAGUGUAGAAUGUAUUUUUUGUUUUUGCGAUCACGCAAUCAAUACAACUUUCAACAACGGAUCUCUUGGCUCUC